AUGUUGGAAAAAAAUUCUACCUGCAUAAUUGAUAAACUAGAAUUAGAAGAAAAGAUUAGAAAUAUAGAGAAUUACAUCUCCAGAAAACCAGAGGAAGAGAGUUUAGGUUUACUGCUUUACCUAAGGAGAGCCAAAGCUGCCAUUGCUCAAUCAGUGAAAGAGGUAGGAAGUAUCAGUCAGGAAACAGAAAGCAAGGAGCAGAGAGCUUCUAAACAAGACUCUGAGCUUUCUGUCUUUUGCUGUGUGGCAUUUGGGUAUUCUGGCCCUCUGGAACAUCCUGAGGGUUAUCCUGAUCAGAAAUUCCAAGUUCAGCCUAAGAGAGGAGACAUGUAUAAGAAGAGAGUGAUGGGAGAACACCAUCCCCCUCUUUCCCUUCGGCGCGCCACUGAAGAUCCUGGUUACUGGUAUUGUAAGAACAAGCCAUACCCAAAGUCUCGCUUCUGCCGAGGUGUCCCUGAUGUCAAGAUUCGCAUCUUUGACCUAGGGCGGAAGAAGGCAAAAGUGGAUGAGUUUCUUGCUCUGUGGCCACAUGGUUUCAGAUGAAUAUGGCAGCUGUCCUGUGAAGGCCUGGAGGCUGCCCGAAUUUGUGCCAAUAAGCACAUGGUAAAAAGUUGCGGCAAGGAUGGCUUCCAUAAUCCGGGUGCGGCUCCACCCCUUCCACGUCAUCCGCAUCAACAAGAUGUUGUCCUGUGCUGGGGCUGACAGGCUCCAAACAGGCAUGCGAGGUGCUUUUGGAAAGCCCCAGGGCGCUGUGGCCAGGGUUGCAUUGGUCAAGUUAUCAUGUCCAUCCGCACCAAGCUACAGAACAAGGAGCAUGUGAUUGAGGCCCUGCGCAGGGCCAAGUUCAAGUUUCCUGGCCGCCAGAAGAUCCACAUCUCAAAGAAGUGGGGUUUCACCAAGUUCAAUGCUGAUGAAUUUGAAGACAUGGUGGCUGAAAAGCGGCUCAUCCCGGAUGGCUGUGGGGUCAAGUACAUCCCCAGUCGUGGUCCUCUGGACAAAUGGCGGGCCCUGCACUCAUGAGGGCCUCCAAUAUGCUGCCCCCCUCUUAAUACUCACCAAUAAAUUCUACUUCCUGUACACCUAAAAAAAAAAAAAAAAAAAA
Molecule: non-coding RNA, 1102 nt
Organism: Chlorocebus sabaeus (green monkey)
Lineage: Eukaryota; Metazoa; Chordata; Mammalia; Primates; Cercopithecidae
Source: RefSeq, a predicted model, not a curated record